This 457-nucleotide ribosomal RNA is filed under the name Synalpheus stimpsonii complex sp. C KMH-2014. RNAcentral's name for it is "Synalpheus stimpsonii C KMH-2014 partial 16S ribosomal RNA". It matches the Rfam family "Bacterial large subunit ribosomal RNA", at positions 1914 to 2584 of the family's 2925-position model. Lineage: Eukaryota; Metazoa; Arthropoda; Malacostraca; Decapoda; Alpheidae. The record is from RNAcentral.
GAAUUUAUAUUAAAGGGCUGCGGUAAAUUAACCGUGCAAAGGUAGCAUAAUCAGUAGUCUUUUAAUUGAAGGCUGGAAUGAACGGUUGGACGAAAAGAAAGCUGUCUUUCGUUAUUAUUAUUGAAUUUAACAUUUGUGUGAAAAGGCAUGAAUAAGUUGAGGGGACGAUAAGACCCUAUAAAAUUUAAUAUAUUUUAUUAUUUUUUGAAAAAGUUGAUUAAUUAUAAAAUGAGAUUAAGUAUUUUGCUGGGGCGGCAUGAAUAUAAAUUACUAACUGUUUAUUUAAUUUAAUAUAAUUUAUAGAUUAUGAUCCUUUAUUAAGGAGUAAAGAGUAAAUUACUUUAGGGAUAACAGCAUAAUUUUUUCUGAGAGUUCUUAUCGAAGAAAUAAGUUGUGACCUCGAUGUUGAAUUAAAAUUUUCUUCUUGAGUAGAGAUUUGGAAGAAAGGACUGUUCGU